Molecule: transfer RNA, 71 nt
Filed under: Cladonema multiramosum
Lineage: Eukaryota; Metazoa; Cnidaria; Hydrozoa; Anthoathecata; Cladonematidae
Description: tRNA-Met
Rfam family: tRNA
About the family: Transfer RNA (tRNA) molecules are approximately 80 nucleotides in length. Their secondary structure includes four short double-helical elements and three loops (D, anti-codon, and T loops). Further hydrogen bonds mediate the characteristic L-shaped molecular structure. tRNAs have two regions of fundamental functional importance: the anti-codon, which is responsible for specific mRNA codon recognition, and the 3' end, to which the tRNAs corresponding amino acid is attached (by aminoacyl-tRNA synthetases). tRNAs cope with the degeneracy of the genetic code in two manners: having more than one tRNA (with a specific anti-codon) for a particular amino acid; and 'wobble' base-pairing, i.e. permitting non-standard base-pairing at the 3rd anti-codon position.
Source: RNAcentral
UAUAAGGUAAACUAAUGGUAAGUUUUUAGGCUCAUAACCUAAUAAAAGAAGUUCGAUUCUUCUCCUUAUAA